This is a long non-coding RNA of Oncorhynchus tshawytscha (Chinook salmon), 797 nucleotides long. RefSeq lists it as uncharacterized. Lineage: Eukaryota; Metazoa; Chordata; Actinopteri; Salmoniformes; Salmonidae. The record is from RefSeq and is a predicted model, not a curated record. The transcript has 6 exons.
GGCAAGGAGACCUGGUCAUUAGUCAGAAGAACUCUUUACAUGUAGGCUUACAGUCAACAAAUCAGAACUUUUUGCAGAUACGUUAUCUUUUAAGUUAUUAUUAAAACCAGUGUUCCGGAGAGGUUUUUCCACACUGGCCUGACGAAGUCCUCCACAGUGACAGCCACCAGCGCAUUGAUGCUGGAGGACACAGUACUGAAACAGACACAAUGGCAAUAGAUGAGGGGAAGAGAAAGAAUGUCCUUUGUCUGCAGGGAAUUCAUAGUUAAACACAUUCAUUGAUAGGUUAGUAGUGGAAUACCGCUUGUGUUUGGACCCAGGACGGGGUAGGGGGUCGUGAGUAUUCUCACCUUAGGGUGCCACUGUAUGCUGCAGACACAAACAAUCCAGGGACUCCAGGAUAGGCUGCCAGAAUGUCCAUCACCAGACCUCCCUGAGAACCACAAUUCAACAUGGAGUCAGGGGAAGGAAUGUACCGUGUGCCGUAACCUCAUGUACACAAAAGAGCAGGAAGGUGUUGAUUGCUGAUUGGGAGUGUGUGAGAUGAGCCACUGACCAGGGUACAGUAGAGGAUGCACACCACCCCAGUGGCCACCAGCACUCCCCAGAGGUUCAUCCCUGUGACUGAAACACACAGAAGUUCAGCCCUGUGACUGAAAUGCCCAGAGGUGCUGGUGAUGCCCAGGCGGUAGAAGAGAGGGACAAAUAUCUCGGCGGUGAUGAUGGACAUGAUGGCAUAGGAGAUGGCAAAGAUCCAGUAGUCCGCCCCAAACCGAUAGGCUUCGGCUGGUGUGCCG